Molecule: long non-coding RNA, 234 nt
Filed under: Mustela putorius furo (domestic ferret)
Lineage: Eukaryota; Metazoa; Chordata; Mammalia; Carnivora; Mustelidae
Description: lncRNA (ENSMPUG00000030910.1)
Source: RNAcentral
GGUGAAGGUAGAAAAAGAGGUAGUUCAUGGUAGAUUUCUGGACUCAGAAGUAGGAGAGAAGAUUGAAGGUACUCUGAGGGCCAGGUUUGGGAGAUACGCUUUACUUCUUUUAUCCCAGGGACAGCAGCAGCAGCAGCUUUGAAGGACACUGCAAGGUCUUGCUCAAGAAAGAUGUCCUCCCUUCCCCUGCUAGUCAUUGGUGACUGCGAUUCCCAGCCGCCAUUGCUCUUUAAA